Fopius arisanus is the source of this 1781-nucleotide long non-coding RNA. RefSeq lists it as uncharacterized. Lineage: Eukaryota; Metazoa; Arthropoda; Insecta; Hymenoptera; Braconidae. The transcript is spliced from 2 exons. The record is from RefSeq and is a predicted model, not a curated record.
GCUCACUUCCGAGCGAUCCCGAGAGCAGAUCGGAGGAAAAGUAUGGACCCGUUGACUCCUGGGGGAUUACCUCCUUUUACAUCCCCAGGAAAUUGUACCUGGACUUGAGUUUUUAAGGACGUGGAGAUGAUGAAUAUGGAUGAGCCCUAUGUGACAUGCGGAAGAGCGGAAGUUACCGGAAGUUGACGAGAUUGCGCAGUUUUAUCAUUCUUAAGACCUUUUCUUUAGUUCCUGAUUCAAUAUUUAUUUUUGGAUGGAGAGCCGCGUUUAGACGAGUUGAAAGGGAUUUUGGGAAUUUCAAUCCCCUGGGGAUGAUGUUGUUUGUCAAUGGGAGAAUUUUUUUGAACGAGGAAAUUAAUUCUCUUGGAGAUUGGAAAGGUUUUAGAUCAGUUGAUUCUUUUCUCAAUCUCUCGGAGAAUGCAAAAUACAAACGAACGUCAUUCGAAUUUUCAUUAUGCAAUUUUCCAGAAUUUUCUUCAUUGCAUUAAAUCAAGUACAAGUCAAGAAUUCCUGCAAAUAUAAUUGAAACUUGAAGUAAAAUCCAUCAGACGUAUUGAGGCAGGGUUUAAAAAUUGAUAGGCUGCACAUCCCAGUUUCUGAACGCAUGAAAAAAAUUUUAUAUCUCUGAAUGACUAAAUUAUCAUCAAAUCCGGCAAAAUUUCUCCAGGUAUUACAAAACGCUCAUCCACUGGAACACUCCCCUCAAAUAAAUCGUACUCCAAUUUAUAUCCCAGUUUCUCUAUGUAUUUUCAACAAAAAUUAAAGUGAUUAUUCGAUAAUAUGGAUUGAUAAUAUUUCAUACAAUAAUAAUAUAAUAAUUAUAAUAGUCAUCCCUCAGUCAGUUGAACGGGAAUAAUGCACAAACACAUUUGAAAUCAUAAGUCAUUAAUUUCUGCUCCUCGUUAAAUAAAAAAAAAUUAUAAUAAACGAAAUUGACACACCUAUUCUCCACUCCAUUCACUCUACACUCUUCAUGUGAUAUCUCUUCAACGUGGAUGCGUAUACGGGUGCGUUUCUCCCACCUCUGUUCAUAAAUUCAUGUGACUAGUUCUUUAAAAAUUUUACAUCUCUCAUUUUAUUUUUUCAAAAUAAUAACUAACAUAUGUAUUUCAACUCAUUAUUCCUAUUUACAUAUGUAUAUUACUUUUUUCAUUUAAUGUUAUAUAAAACUCUUCUCACUUUCACUAUGAAAAAAUCAUUGUCUCUACCUGGAAUGAUAAUCCUGAAGGGAAAAAGAAAAGCAACCCCUGUCAAUUGAUGCCAGAAUAAUCGAUAAAUGAAUAAAUAUUUUGUUGAUAAUGAAGGCUCAUAGAGAAAGUUUUUCAUUAAAAAAUUUUGCGUAUCAAUUGUGUCGAGAUAAGGCCACUAGUGGAUGAUACGAAUACAGUACAAACAUCAGGAUCAUGUCCGUGUACUAAAUAUCUCUAAAUCGCUGACAUCACGUCCUUGAACGAAAAACACAAAGUUCUACUCCGUAUAAAAGAGAAUAAAAUCACGCAACACAUCUCUGCAACCUUCUCUUUCUUCUUUUUAAUCCCUUGUUUCUCCCAAUUAAAAGAGAAUUUACUCGCAUUAUUGUCACAGGCUUGUGCUGCCAAAUAUCCUAUCCUAUCCUGAGAACAUCAUCUCAGAGAUAUUCUAUCAGUGCUACCCUCGAUUCAGGCAUUCGUAAAAGCCAUAACUUCAGACCCUCAGUUCAUUGAUCUCACGGUAAUAUGAAUCUAAAAAAAUGUACGACACGCACUUUCAGAGAAUAGUCUUCAGUUAUACGAAAAAAAAAA